GACGAACGCUGGCGGCGUGCUUAACACAUGCAAGUCGAACGGAAAGGCCCUGCUUUUGUGGGGUGCUCGAGUGGCGAACGGGUGAGUAACACGUGAGUAACCUGCCCUUGACUUUGGGAUAACUUCAGGAAACUGGGGCUAAUACCGGAUAGGAGCUCCUGCUGCAUGGUGGGGGUUGGAAAGUUUCGGCGGUUGGGUAUGGACUCGCGGCUUAUCAGCUUGUUGGUGGGGUAGUGGCUUACCAAGGCUUUGACGGGUAGCCGGCCUGAGAGGGUGACCGGCCACAUUGGGACUGAGAUACGGCCCAGGCUCCUACGGGAGGCAGCAGGGGGGAAUAUUGCACAAUGGGCGGAAGCCUGAUGCAGCAACGCCGCGUGCGGGAUGACGGCCUUCGGGUUGUAAACCGCUUUCGCCUGUGACGAAGCGUGAGUGACGGUAAUGGGUAAAGAAGCACCGGCUAACUACGUG
RNAcentral lists this ribosomal RNA (468 nucleotides) under uncultured bacterium. RNAcentral describes it as "partial 16S ribosomal RNA". It matches the Rfam family "Bacterial small subunit ribosomal RNA", at positions 28 to 507 of the family's 1533-position model. The record is from RNAcentral.